UAGGGAAUCUUCCACAAUGGACGCAGCNGAUGGAGCAACGCCGCGUGAGUGAAGAAGGUCUUCGGAUCGUAAAACUCUGUUGUUAGAGAAGAACACGAGUGAGAGUAACUGUUCAUUCGAUGACGGUAUCUAACCAGCAAGUCACGGCUAACUACGUGCCAG
This 162-nucleotide ribosomal RNA is filed under the name uncultured bacterium. RNAcentral describes it as "partial 16S rRNA". It matches the Rfam family "Bacterial small subunit ribosomal RNA", at positions 355 to 511 of the family's 1533-position model. The record is from RNAcentral.